This 2391-nucleotide ribosomal RNA is filed under the name Triticum aestivum (bread wheat). RNAcentral's name for it is "partial small subunit ribosomal RNA". Lineage: Eukaryota; Viridiplantae; Streptophyta; Magnoliopsida; Poales; Poaceae. The record is from RNAcentral.
AUGUACCACCGUCAUGCCAAGCGCCACCGCGACAGCCCCGACGAAGCGCUCCCAACCCCCAAGCAGCCCCUGACGACGACCACGACCCACUCUUUCGCCUCCUCCUCUUCCCCUGGCGUGCACUUCUUCGUGCGCGCCACCGACUCCAAGACCAUCGUGAUGCACACUGCGCGGGCCCAUACCGUCGCCGUCGUGCUCGAUAACUUUGUCGACUGUGGCUACGGCCCGGACUUGCACCUCCUCUAUGCGGGAAGGCGGCUACAGCCAGAGGCCACCAUCGCGUCGCUCGGCCUCCUGCCCGACUCCACUCUCCACCUCAACAACGGCAUCACCGACACCCCGCAUCACUUCAUGGCCUGGCAGGUAGCGUCACGCAUUGCCAAGGCCACCACCAGCUCUAUUGAGAUUCUCGACAUGCAGGUAAUGGAGUACAUCGCUUUCUUUGAUCCCAGGUGCCAGCGAAACCGGCAUCAUCGUGCCGAGGAUUACAUCCAAAUAUUCCUUGAGUCGGGCGCUGCCAUCACGCUUGUUGACCUCUACCUCUCAGAUGUCUCUUUAUCCCACACGCAGGCCGAGCGUGCCAUCAGAUGCUUUCUCAGCAUGGACCCUGCAUCCUUACCGUCUACUGUAACCCUCAUGACGGGCUCGGACCCUGCAUCCUUACCGCCUAGUGUAAUGUUCGCGACGGUGCCUGUGCUGCUCGAAUUCUGCCGCUUGCUUUCUUCAGCCGCGGGAAAUGGGGAUUCCCUCUACAAGUCAUGCCGUUACACACUUGCAUCAAUACUCUGCUUGCCCUUCUCCAUGCUCACUUCCACGAAAUCGCCAACCAGGGUCAGAGUCCUCCCGUUUGCCAGAGAAGUAGUUGAACUGGUGCUGAAUGGACUUGCGUCAGAGUCCAUGAUGGUGUCAAGGACAGACCUUGAAGAGCUCUCAAACUUCUUUAAAGUGCUGUGCCCAGUGAUGCCCGACGGGCUAAUGCCAAAUAAUAUUUACAACAUCUCUCAUAAGCGUGGUGACACAUGGAUAUGGGAGUUACACGAAAUGUCUAUGAACUUGUUGAAAAUAUUGGAUGAGUGUCUCUGGAGGCUGGAGAUGAAUCUUCCAUCAUCGUCAUCCGAGAGUAGGGGUUUCAUAGAAAGUCAACCAAUCUGGGCCAAUCGAUUACAUAUCCUUGCCGUAUUGGAAGAACUGAAUUUCAUCUCCUCGAAAUUCGAGGAUGUGGCGCACAGCCUACGGUUCGUGUUGCUGGUACACAAAGCACCUCUCAAUGCACUCGUGCGUUGUUCCAAGAGGAACGAGCAUCUUCACUGGCUCGUGAAGCAUAAGGAUCUGCUUUGCUUCGAAGCAAGAAGGAACUUCGUCUUAAUGUUGUUUCCUGAGGGGGAGGAAGACUACGGGGUGCCGCAUGAGAUGUUGAUCGACCGGUCACGUUUACUAGAUGACGAGCUUCACAGUGGUCUGUUUAUCGAGUUCAAGAAUGAGAAGGCUACUGGCCGUGGCGUUCUGAGGGAGUGGUUCUGCAUGGUUAGUCAGGCUCUCUUCAGCCCACAGCAAGUUCUCUUCUUGCCUUGUCCUAAUGAUCAACGGAGGUUCUACUUGAAUGGAACAUCUGCUAUGGACCCACUCCACCUGGAAUACUUCAUUUUUUCAGGGCGAUUAAUUGGAUUAGCAUUGAUGCAUAAAGUGCAAGUAGGAAUUGUUUUGGACCGCACAUUAUUCUUGCAUCUUGCUGGGAGAAGUAUUACAUUGGAAGAUAUUGCAACUGCAGACCCUAUCACGUAUGCAAGCUAUGUUCAUAUCUUAGGGACUCAAAGGAAUGUUGAUAUUUGUGCAGGAGGGCAGGAUAUCUCUGUGAACAUCAGUAACAUAGAUUAUUACAUUGAUCUUCUUAUUAAAAAUAUCUUUGUUGACUCUAUUUCUAAUCAGCUAGCUAAGUUUGCAAAAGGAUUUAGUGACAUAUUGGCCAAUCCGGAACUCAAGAAGGUAUUUUUUGGGUGUUUGGAUCAAGAAGACUUUGACCGAAUGCUUGGGGGAAACAACAACAGUAUAAAUCUGAAAGAUUGGGGAUCACAUACUCAAUAUAAUGGCUACAAAGAAAAAGAUCGCCAUGUUAACUGGUUCUGGAAGGCUGUCGAGAGCAUGCCAGUUGAGCAGCAGAGGCAACUUCUCUUCUUUUGGACUUCAGUGAAAUAUUUGCCCUCCGAAGGUUUUGGUGGACUGAGCUCAAAACUGUACAUACACAACACAUUUGAGUCAGCUGACCAUCUCCCAUCCUCGCAUACAUGCUUCUACCACCUUGGCCUCCCUCCAUAUCCAACCCUCAAGGUGAUGCAUAACCAGCUGCAGAAGAUCACACAAGAGCAUGUGAGCUGCAGCUUUGGUACGGGUUAG